UCCAGCAGCUAAAUUACCCUGCAACUCACAACUGACAACCCACUGGAGCUCAGCAGGUGUGAGCCUGGUCAGUACCUGGAUGGGAGACCUCCUGGGAAAGCUGAGGCUGCUGCUGGAA
This 118-nucleotide ribosomal RNA is filed under the name Lepisosteus oculatus (spotted gar). Lineage: Eukaryota; Metazoa; Chordata; Actinopteri; Semionotiformes; Lepisosteidae. The record is from RNAcentral.